AAUAGAUACCCGGGUAGUCCACGCCGUAAACGAUGUCUACUAGCCGUUGGGAGACUUGAUUUCUUAGUGGCGCAGCUAACGCAAUAAGUAGACCGCCUGGGGAGUACGGCCGCAAGGUUAAAACUCAAAUGAAUUGACGGGGGCCCGCACAAGCGGUGGAGCAUGUGGUUUAAUUCGAUGCAACGCGAAGAACCUUACCAGGUCUUGACAUCCUAGGAACUUUCCAGAGAUGGAUUGGUGCCUUCGGGAGCCUAGAGACAGGUGCUGCAUGGCUGUCGUCAGCUCGUGUCGUGAGAUGUUGGGUUAAGUCCCGUAACGAGCGCAACCCUUGUCCUUAGUUGCCAGCACGUAAAGGUGGGAACUCUAAGGAGACUGCCGGUGACAAACCGGAGGAAGGUGGGGACGAUGUCAAGUCAUCAUGGCCCUUACGACCUGGGCUACACACGUGCUACAAUGGAACGCACAGAGGGCAGCAAAGGCGCGAGCUGGAGCGAAUCCCACAAAACGUUUCGUAGUCCGGAUCGGAGUCUGC
This 532-nucleotide ribosomal RNA is filed under the name uncultured bacterium. RNAcentral's name for it is "bacterial SSU rRNA". It matches the Rfam family "Bacterial small subunit ribosomal RNA", at positions 777 to 1308 of the family's 1533-position model. The record is from RNAcentral.